RNAcentral lists this long non-coding RNA (468 nucleotides) under Olea europaea subsp. europaea. Lineage: Eukaryota; Viridiplantae; Streptophyta; Magnoliopsida; Lamiales; Oleaceae. The record is from RNAcentral.
AUUACUAAAAUAAUGUGGCUCAAUCAUCCCCUAAAUUGGUUGUAGAUAUUAUUAAUCGGUGGCUGCAAAUAAUAUUUGACAUUGUCUAAAUACAAAAAUGAACAGCGUUGGCAAGGAAAGAGUAUUCAAUAUUCUAACAACCGGAUGAGAUUUAAAACUUUUCUUUACUUUCUUCAUAUCAUAUAAUGACAUUACAUCUAUUUAUCAAAAGAUAGGAAGCCAAAGAAAUGAAGACGGGAAGAAGAAAAUUAAACACCCUCUUGUUCACGAAAUCCAUCUUUUGAUCAGAUCCUUCUUCUUCAAUCGUUUCGAGAUUCGGUGCAUUCGAAGGCUUAUAAGGAAAUAUCAAAGGGGAUGGAGCAACCUCAGUCCAAUAUUGCAUGUAACUCGUUCGCUUUCUCAUGACCUGGAAUAAAAAAAAUCCUUUGAGGGGUUGGGUAGGGGUGGGGCGUUGAGAAUAAACAGCAG